CACAAUAAGUAUCCCACCUGGGGAGUACAGCCGCAAGGUUGAAACUCAAAGGAAUUGACGUGGGCCCGCACAAGCAGUGGAGUAUGUGGUUUAAUUCGAAGCAACGCGAAGAACCUUACCAGGGCUUGACAUCCCUUGAACUAUCUAGAGAUAGGUAGGGCCUACGGGACAAGGAGACAGGUGGUGCAUGGUUGUCGUCAGCUCGUGUCGUGAGAUGUUGGGUUAAGUCCCGCAACGAGCGCAACCUUUAUAGAUAAUUGCCAGCAAUGAGAUGGGGACUCUAGCGAGACAGCCGUUGAGUAAACGCACGAAGGAAACGAUGACGUCAAAUCAUCAUGCCCCUUAUGCUNUGGGCUACACACGUACUACAAUGGCUACUACAGAGGGAAGCGAAGCCAGGAGGCGGAGCAAAUCUCAAAAAGGUAGUCACAGUUCAGAUUGUAGGCUGAACUAGCAUGCAUGAAGUAGGAAUUGCUAGUAAUUGCAGGUCAGACUACUGCAGUGAAUACGCUCCCGGGCANUGUACACACCGCCCGUCACACCAUGAGAGUCUGAACACCCGAAGUC
This 567-nucleotide ribosomal RNA is filed under the name uncultured organism. Its description in RNAcentral is "bacterial SSU rRNA". It matches the Rfam family "Bacterial small subunit ribosomal RNA", at positions 856 to 1428 of the family's 1533-position model. The record is from RNAcentral.